This is a long non-coding RNA of Culex quinquefasciatus (southern house mosquito), 348 nucleotides long. RefSeq lists it as uncharacterized. Lineage: Eukaryota; Metazoa; Arthropoda; Insecta; Diptera; Culicidae. The transcript has 2 exons. The record is from RefSeq and is a predicted model, not a curated record.
UGUCAGAAUUCAUUUAGAAUUCUGUCGGAAUGUUCUAGCAGAAAAAAAAAUUCGCCUUCCCGGUUGUGGCGAACUCGAUUGCUGCCAAAUCCGCGUUUUUGUCGACGAUCUUUCUUUCUUUCGUAGACUUUGCUAGAGAAGGACGUUCUCAUAAUUAUUCAGGAAUCAGAUCGCAGGAGUGCUUCCGCCUACAGAGUGAUGGACCGACUCGCAACACCAGCUCGGAGAUCAACGAAUCUAUACUUCGUUCCUUGCCAGUUUCGCGAAGGAAAAAUUACUGUUCCAAGAUGAUUGUAGAAAUUCCUGGCGCAGAAUUAGUUUGCUGGAGACCAAAUUGGAUGACUCACG